Myzus persicae (green peach aphid) is the source of this 1730-nucleotide long non-coding RNA. RefSeq lists it as uncharacterized. Lineage: Eukaryota; Metazoa; Arthropoda; Insecta; Hemiptera; Aphididae. The transcript has 3 exons. The record is from RefSeq and is a predicted model, not a curated record.
AUUACUUCAUUGCACUAUGCAGUUUCUUAUUUCACCGUUUAUUCCCGUAAUCCCGUAAUCCCGUAUCGCUCAUCAAGUUUCGAAUUUCGAUCGUUAAUAGUCGACAGCAGCCGAUACUGACGUCUGGUGAAACACGGUUGACUAUAAUAUUCUUUUCUUCGUGUAACGUGAAUUUGUUUCCUACUAUUAUAUUUAUAAAAAAAGACUACGUAGUCAGUGGUACACUUUAAAUUGAAUGAUACGGUGGAGGUCGUACCCGAAAAUUGGUUUAUUAAAAAAGGAUGUUGCGCAUGGCCGAAUACAAAAAAAAAAGUGAAUUGAAAAAUGCAAUUAUAAACAGAAUAAAGCCGAAAAAACACACAUUUAAUUUCUUUGAAGCACGGACUUUGACUUCCAAUAUUAAUGAUUUUCAAGUGGCUCAAAAGAAAUGCUCUGUGGCAAAAAGUCCGAUCUUUCCUCAUCUGAAGACACAUUAAAACUUAGAAAAGUGCGAAAACGAAAAGUUGUGAAAAAUUCGGAUUCUGCAGAUAUAUUAAAAAGUCGCAUAUUCAUCAUCAGUUCAACGAAUACUGUUGUCUGUAAAAACAUUGCAUUGCAUACACAAAAUAAAUUCAUUGGUUGGACAAAAAGCUCAGAUCAGUUAUUGAUGGAAUGAGGUCUACUCUUCAAUUGUUACUCAUCACGUGAGCACUCUGUCUUCAGUUUAUACUUCUGCAUACGAUUCUCAAAAAACCAUCUAUUCGAUUCAAAAAUAACCAAUGGGACUUCAGUGGAUCAUAUAUCAAAUACUACAUGGACUGGUAUUUAGAUUUUGUUUUAUUUUAUAAACAAUAUACAACAUUUAUUGCACCCAUCAACCAGAGUCGUUCCUUUUUUGAUUUAAUUAAAAAUAAAUUACUUUGGAAUACAAAUGUUAAUAGGUCUUAUAAGUUAUGAGCAUUGCUUUCAAAAAGAAAAAUAGAACUGUGUAUAUCUUAUCAUUUGACCAGAAGUCCAGGAAAUGUACAUACAUGUUUAAGAUAUUAUUUUAAAAAUGUCAAGGAUCAUUUAAUCUGGGAAAUUCAAAGCCAUGGUUCCGCCGAGUUAGAGUGUAGUAUGCGGAAUUAUUUUGAAAGUUUGUACUUAAAAAAUAGUGACAUAUAUCAUGAAUUUUUUGAAAACAAUAUGCUGGUAAACUCGUAACGGGUGUUAAAACGAGUGUUUAAAUGAUUUUGCAUUUUUUGGUUGCAGUUACUGGUUGCGGAUAUUGUAUAUUGUCAUUUGGGAUAAGUAUAUAUCGAAUGAUAUUUUAUUAAGUAAAGACUUCGAUUACUUAAAUUUAACGAUGCGGUAUGACAAUGAUCGUGACAAUUUCAAUGAUGCGUGUGUUCAGAACAUAAAAAUGGAAGGAUGAUUUUAUCAACUCAAGUGAUAUUAAUAUUGUUAAUUUUAAAAAUGAUUAUAUUUUAGAUUAUAUUAGAGAAAAACAUAGAAAUAUCUAUAUUCCUUAGGUUUAAUGAUAUUAAAAAAAAUUCCGGAUUUAUGACUUAGACUUACUGCAGAUUCACGAUGAAGUAUUCUAUAUGUUCAAUAUUAUAAAUCAAUUUCCAUAAACUUAUAAGAUUUACAAAAUCCCAUUAAAAUACUUAUUUAAAAAUACUCAAAAUGUGGUUUUGAGUAUUGAUCAUCUUAACAAAUCAUAUUUUAAAUUAAAAUGUAUUGUAAUUAAAGACACCGUAGACAUUUUAAAU